UACGGAGGGUGCAAGCAUUGAUCGGAAUUACUGGGCGUAAAGGGCGCGUAGGCGGCCGAGAAAGUCAGAUGUGAAAUUCCUAGGCUCAACCUAGGAGCUGCAUUUGAAACUUCUCGACUUGAGGAUGGUUAGGGAAAACGGAAUUCCACGUGUAGCGGUGAAAUGCGUAGAUAUGUGGAAGAACACCAGUGGUGAAGACGGUUUUCUGGGCCAAACCUGACGCUGAGGCGCGAAAGCUAGGGGAGCAAACAGG
Molecule: ribosomal RNA, 253 nt
Filed under: uncultured bacterium
Lineage: Bacteria
Description: partial 16S ribosomal RNA
Rfam family: Bacterial small subunit ribosomal RNA
Source: RNAcentral